RNAcentral lists this ribosomal RNA (464 nucleotides) under Clostridioides difficile. RNAcentral describes it as "bacterial LSU rRNA". It matches the Rfam family "Bacterial large subunit ribosomal RNA", at positions 384 to 848 of the family's 2925-position model. Lineage: Bacteria; Bacillati; Bacillota; Clostridia; Peptostreptococcales; Peptostreptococcaceae. The record is from RNAcentral.
AAUAAUAAUUCUUUAGGUAUGAUCCAGAGUACCACGGGACACAGUAAAACGCUGUGGUAAUCAGUAGGGACCACCCUCCAAUGAUAAAUACUACCUAGUGACCGAGAGCGUAUAGUACCGUGAGGGAUAGGUGAAAAUAACCCCGGGAGAGUAGUUAAAUUGACCCUGAAACCCUGCACUUACAAGCUGUGGAAGCACAUUUCUUGUGUGACCGCGUACUCUUUGUAGAACGGGCCAACGAGUUACGUUCAGUAGCAAGGUUAAGCACUUAAGGUGCGGAGCCGGAGCGAAAGCGAGAUUUAAAUGAGCGUUCAGUUACUUGACGCAGACCCGAAACCGGGCGACCUACCCAAGAGCAGGAUGGAGCGAAAGUAAAAUUUCGUGGAGGUCCGAACCCACGAGCGUUCACAAGCCCCGGGAUGACUCGAGGCUAGCGGUGAAAUUCCAAUCGAGCCCGGAGAUAG